Molecule: ribosomal RNA, 861 nt
Filed under: Salmonella enterica
Lineage: Bacteria; Pseudomonadati; Pseudomonadota; Gammaproteobacteria; Enterobacterales; Enterobacteriaceae
Description: partial 23S ribosomal RNA
Rfam family: Bacterial large subunit ribosomal RNA
Source: RNAcentral
GCAUGUGCUGUGAGCUCGAUGAGUAGGGCGGGACACGUGGUAUCCUGUCUGAAUAUGGGGGGACCAUCCUCCAAGGCUAAAUACUCCUGACUGACCGAUAGUGAACCAGUACCGUGAGGGAAAGGCGAAAAGAACCCCGGCGAGGGGAGUGAAAAAGAACCUGAAACCGUGUACGUACAAGCAGUGGGAGCACCCUUUGGGGUGUGACUGCGUACCUUUUGUAUAAUGGGUCAGCGACUUAUAUUCUGUAGCAAGGUUAACCGAAUAGGGGAGCCGGAGGGAAACCGAGUCUUAAUUGGGCGUUAAGUUGCAGGGUAUAGACCCGAAACCCGGUGAUCUAGCCAUGGGCAGGUUGAAGGUUGGGUAACACUAACUGGAGGACCGAACCGACUAAUGUUGAAAAAUUAGCGGAUGACCUGUGGCUGGGGGUGAAAGGCCAAUCAAACCGGGAGAUAGCUGGUUCUCCCCGAAAGCUAUUUAGGUAGCGCCUCGUGAAUUCAUCUCCGGGGGUAGAGCACUGUUUCGGCUAGGGGGCCAUCCCGGCUUACCAACCCGAUGCAAACUGCGAAUACCGGAGAAUGUUAUCACGGGAGACACACGGCGGGUGCUAACGUCCGUCGUGAAGAGGGAAACAACCCAGACCGCCAGCUAAGGUCCCAAAGUCAUGGUUAAGUGGGAAACGAUGUGGGAAGGCCCAGACAGCCAGGAUGUUGGCUUAGAAGCAGCCAUCAUUUAAAGAAAGCGUAAUAGCUCACUGGUCGAGUCGGCCUGCGCGGAAGAUGUAACGGGGCUAAACCAUGCACCGAAGCUGCGGCAGCGACGCUGAUGCGUUGUUGGGUAGGGGAGCGUUCUGUAAGCCUG